GUGUGUGUGUGUGUGUGUGUGUGUGAUGUGUGUGUGAUGUAUGUGUGUGUCCUCUGUGUGUGCGUGUGAUAUAUGUGUGUGUGUCUCUGUGUGUGUGAUGUGUCUUUGCCUCUGUGUGUGUGUGUGUGUGUGUGUGUGUGUGUCUGUGUGUGUGGUGUGUGUAUGUGUGUCUGUAUGUGUGAUGUGUUUGUAUGUGUGUAUUUGUGUGUGUGAUGUGUGUGUGUUUCUCUCUGUGUGUGUGUGAUGUGUGUGUGAUGUUAUGUGUGAUGUGUGUGUGUGUGUGUGUG
RNAcentral lists this long non-coding RNA (287 nucleotides) under Lathyrus oleraceus (garden pea). RNAcentral describes it as "Pisum sativum (pea) long non-coding RNA (PSAT_LNC027978)". The record is from RNAcentral. Lineage: Eukaryota; Viridiplantae; Streptophyta; Magnoliopsida; Fabales; Fabaceae.